This 298-nucleotide small nuclear RNA is filed under the name Nannospalax galili (Upper Galilee mountains blind mole rat). RNAcentral describes it as "7SK RNA (ENSNGAG00000008534.1)". It matches the Rfam family "7SK RNA". From Rfam's summary of the family: 7SK was discovered as an abundant small nuclear RNA in the mid-70s but a possible function has only recently been suggested. The record is from Rfam by way of RNAcentral. Lineage: Eukaryota; Metazoa; Chordata; Mammalia; Rodentia; Spalacidae.
GAAUAUGAGGGUGAUCAGGUUGUGACAUCUGUCACUCCUUUGAUCACUGGGUCUGAUCUGGUUGGCUAGGCAUGUGUCCCUUUCCUCCCUCACUGCUUUAUGUGUGUGCCUUCGGAAGUUGGGUGCUUAGUCAAACAAGACAACCUUCCCUUAUAGGGGAGGACUAUUCUCCAGUCUCCAGUAGCUAUACUCCUUUGCUGGAAACAUCAAGCAAACUCUCAAGAUUAGUGCUAGGGCUAGAGAGAUGACUCAGUGGGUAAAAGUACUUUCCGCGAUGGCCAACUCUCUGUGUUCAGUC